Molecule: long non-coding RNA, 193 nt
Organism: Nannospalax galili (Upper Galilee mountains blind mole rat)
Lineage: Eukaryota; Metazoa; Chordata; Mammalia; Rodentia; Spalacidae
Exons: 3
Source: RefSeq, a predicted model, not a curated record
UUCUCAGAAGAAUCUCUACAGAGAUGUGAUGCUGGAAACCUGCAGGAACUUAAUCUUUAUAGACGCAGUGCGAACACCUGGACUCUCCUACUCUCACCAUGCCUUCCCUACAGUGAUGGACUGCAUCCCCCGAAAAGGACCACUUUCCCAGGAGUGGCAUGGCCCACAGUGGGCUGGGCCCUCCCACAUCACA